CUAUCGGUACUCGCGAAUGCAUCUCAGAUUAGUAGUUUGAUCAUGGCUCAGAAUCAACGCUGGCGGCGUGCCUAACACAUGCAAGUCGAACGCGAAAGCCCCGCAAGGGGUAAGUAGAGUGGCAAACGGGUGAGUAACACGUAGGGUGACCUGCCUUCGAGGGGGUUUUUNGGGGGGGGUGGGGAUGGGGUGGGGAAAAAAUUUUUUUUAAAAAAAAAAAACCCCCAUGGGGGGUUUUUUUUUCCCCCCCCCCUGCCCCCUUGGGGG
RNAcentral lists this ribosomal RNA (267 nucleotides) under uncultured bacterium. RNAcentral describes it as "partial 16S ribosomal RNA". It matches the Rfam family "Bacterial small subunit ribosomal RNA", at positions 1 to 217 of the family's 1533-position model. The record is from RNAcentral.